Molecule: long non-coding RNA, 340 nt
Organism: Paramormyrops kingsleyae
Lineage: Eukaryota; Metazoa; Chordata; Actinopteri; Osteoglossiformes; Mormyridae
Source: RefSeq, a predicted model, not a curated record
CCGCUCCUUGUUCUUGCUCCCGUCUGUGAUGAUUUCUGCCUCCUUGUCACUGAAGCGCACGUGAUUGGUGCUCAGCCCCUGAGUGACGCUGGAGUGGACCAUUGCGGCCUCUUCCUCUCCCUCACUCAGCUCAAGAAUCACAGAUUGUAGAGCGGACGAGUCUUCUGAAGGCAGAGAGACCCAGAAGCGAAGGCGACAACGAUCUCCUGCCCACUCAAGAUGCGACUCAUUUGAAAGACGAGAUGCUUGGAUCAAAGAGCCAGCCUCACAGCUCGAAAAUGAAGAACAGCCACUCGCCUAAGCGGAAAACACAACAUUAAAAGACAAUAAUAACCCUAAA